CUCCUUUCAAAUCAUCUUUGAAAAAUAAUUUAUUCUAUUUUGUUUGAUUUUGAUGUUAAAAAUUAAAAAUUAUUAAUAAAUUUAUAUAGUAAUUCCAAUAAGAUUUUUGAAAUCCAGAAAAUGCAUAAUUAGAUCUCUAAGGUCACGGACGACCCUAUUCCUUUUCACUCCAGGGUUGUAGUCAUAGGUCUCUAUGCAUGUCAUGAUUCAAAGAGAUGUAUAUUCUCUUCUUAUAUUAAAUGGAUAGUACAAACAGGCUUUUAACUUAUUAGUAUCGAGUCAAGUUCUUUGGAGAGAGAAUUCUUUUUGAAUUUAGAGUUUUCUGCAAGUUUCUUCGCGGUUCUCUCUGCCCCACCGGGCAAGGGGAGCUUCUCCUCAUCCUGUAUGGCUGUGGGUUGCUCUCCCCUUUACCGGUUAGUUGAGAUUCAGAUCUCGCUCCUUAGUUAUUAUUAAGAGUCAACAAUGACGUGCAGUUUUCGGUGAGAAACUCGCGGGAACCAAAUAUUCCGGAAGGCCUGAGUGGAUUGCCAACAAGGAUCCCCAUCUCCACCCUUAUUGAUGCUGUUGGAUCUGUCUGUCUCUCUCUUGGCCAGUGUUUUACCUGCUGUGUUGAUGACUUCUCCUCCUCAAAGACCUUGCAUGCGGAUUUUCUUUCUGAGGAGAGACAUCUCUAAUUUGUUGGCCCUUAUUUACUAAAUCUUUUAGAUCUCUCAUCUUAAUUUGUUGACCCUGAUUUACUAAAUCUUUUAAAUUUCUCAUCUUAGAUUUCA
This is a long non-coding RNA of Manihot esculenta (cassava), 770 nucleotides long. RefSeq lists it as uncharacterized. NCBI's taxonomy places the organism in Eukaryota, Viridiplantae, Streptophyta, Magnoliopsida, Malpighiales, Euphorbiaceae. The record is from RefSeq and is a predicted model, not a curated record. The transcript is spliced from 2 exons.